Molecule: ribosomal RNA, 512 nt
Filed under: Libnotes perkinsi
Lineage: Eukaryota; Metazoa; Arthropoda; Insecta; Diptera; Limoniidae
Description: partial 16S ribosomal RNA
Rfam family: Bacterial large subunit ribosomal RNA (bases 388-512)
Source: RNAcentral
GUCUUUUUGAAUUUAAUUUAAAGUCUAACCUGCCCACUGAAAUUAUUUAAAGGGCCGCGGUAUUUUGACCGUGCAAAGGUAGCAUAAUCAAUAGUUUUUUAAUUGAAAACUUGUAUGAAUGGUUGAACGAAAUAUUUACUGUCUCAUAAAAAUUUAUAUUAGAAAUUAAUUUUUUUAUUAAAAAGUAAAAAUAAAAUUAAAAGACGAGAAGACCCUAUAGAGCUUUAUAAAUUUAUUUUUUAUAGUUUAAAAGAAUAUUUUUAUUUUAAAAGAUAAAUUUAUUUUGUUGGGGUGACAAUAAAAUUUAAAAAACUUUUAUUAUUAAUUUACAUUGAUUUAUGAAUAUUUGAUCCAUUUAUAAUGAUUAAAAGUUUAAGUUACCUUAGGGAUAACAGCGUAAUUUUUUUUGAGAGUUCAUAUCGACAAAAAAGAUUGCGACCUCGAUGUUGGAUUAAGAGUUAUAUUUAGGUGUAGAAGUUUAAAAUUUAGGUCUGUUCGACCUUUAAAUUCUU